RNAcentral lists this transfer RNA (71 nucleotides) under Roseburia sp. RNAcentral's name for it is "tRNA-Lys". Lineage: Bacteria; Bacillati; Bacillota; Clostridia; Lachnospirales; Lachnospiraceae. The record is from RNAcentral.
UUAGACAAAACGGGCAUGGCCGCCUUGACUUUUAAUCAAGUUGUCCGGGGUUCGAGUCCCCGGUGUCUCAU